CCCGGUCGCCCCUGGAAACCGACUCAGCUGCGGCGCUGACGGUCAGGUGCACUUCUGAGAGUAGGAUUUUGCAAUAAAAGAAGUAGCCGUAAGGAAGCUUCUGAAGUUAUCAAUAUAGAGAACACCUCUGCAAGAAGCAACAAUGCCUGUAGAAGGAGGAAAAUCUGAUAUGGAAAGAAUUGGCCUCUUCAGUGAGA
RNAcentral lists this long non-coding RNA (197 nucleotides) under Dasypus novemcinctus (nine-banded armadillo). Its description in RNAcentral is "lncRNA (ENSDNOG00000052536.1)". The record is from RNAcentral. Lineage: Eukaryota; Metazoa; Chordata; Mammalia; Cingulata; Dasypodidae.